RNAcentral lists this unclassified non-coding RNA (254 nucleotides) under Hevea brasiliensis (rubber tree). The record is from RNAcentral. Lineage: Eukaryota; Viridiplantae; Streptophyta; Magnoliopsida; Malpighiales; Euphorbiaceae.
AAGAGCUCCUAUGGGAAAGAGGAAUGAAGUAGAAUGGCUGAGUAAUUUAAUGAAAGGAGAGAUUUCCAUUGCAGAUAUAUAUAGAACUUUCUUGGGUGGUAGUGUAUCCCACAUUUGAAUGGAAAGGAAUAAACGUGUUUUUAAUGGCACACAAAGACGAUCUGAAGUUUAGUUAGACAAGUUAUCCAAGAGGUGUUUCAAAAGAGUAAUAACGAUAGGAAAUGACUCCAUUGUUAGAAACUAUGAUCUUGUAU